GUCAUGGAUCGCUUGAUUGGAUCUUGGAUUCCUCUGCCGGAGCUAGGUCUUGGCAGACGCUGGCUAGUUGAGGGUCAGUAGAUUCAAUACAUUGCAUUAUGGAUUGGAUUAGAUGACACCUUCUGGAGGCAACCGAUCGAGUACUUGGACUUUCUCUUCUUCACUGUGAUUGAGGUCUCGGUUGAAGUGGAGAAGAAUUCCAGCAGGGAGGUCUUGUUGUGGUGUUCUUGAUCUAGUAGCUCAGUUUGGUUCCGGCAGCAUCUAUCCAGAUUGAGGUGUUGUUGAUGCUGGAAUUGUGGUCGUAAGGUGAUUUUCAACAGCAUCACCUGUGGCUUUAGAUCGUGAGGACUCUGAUUCGAGACGAGC
Long non-coding RNA from Zingiber officinale, 366 nucleotides. RefSeq lists it as uncharacterized. NCBI's taxonomy places the organism in Eukaryota, Viridiplantae, Streptophyta, Magnoliopsida, Zingiberales, Zingiberaceae. The transcript has 3 exons. The record is from RefSeq and is a predicted model, not a curated record.